GACCGGCGCACGGGUGCGUAACGCGUAUGCAACCUACCUGUAACAGGGGGAGUAACACUGAGAAAUCGGUACUAAUACCGCAUAACACUAUGAGAGGCAUCUCUUGUGGUUGAAAGUUUCGGCGGUUACAGAUGGGCAUGCGUUGUAUUAGCUGGUUGGUAAGGUAACGGCUUACCAAGGCGACGAUACAUAGGGGGACUGAGAGGUUAACCCCCCACAUUGGUACUGAGACACGGCCCAAACUCCUACGGAAGGCAGCAG
RNAcentral lists this ribosomal RNA (261 nucleotides) under uncultured bacterium. Its description in RNAcentral is "partial 16S ribosomal RNA". It matches the Rfam family "Bacterial small subunit ribosomal RNA", at positions 93 to 354 of the family's 1533-position model. The record is from RNAcentral.